AGGGCCGGGGCGUUUGGCCCCGGGCCUGAAUGGGGUUCAGGGGGUCGUCAGUUCGAAUCUGACCGUCCCGACCA
This 74-nucleotide transfer RNA is filed under the name Acidobacteriota bacterium. Its description in RNAcentral is "Acidobacteria bacterium tRNA-Pro". The record is from RNAcentral. Lineage: Bacteria; Pseudomonadati; Acidobacteriota.